AUUGAACGCUGGCGGCAGGCCUAACACAUGCAAGUCGAACGAGUGGCGGACGGGUGAGUACUGUCUGGGAAACUGCCUGAUGGAGGGGGAUAACUACUGGAAACGGUAGCUAAUACCGCAUACCCUCGUAUGUGCCAAGAUGGGAGUGGAGAGUAGGUGGGGUAAAGGCUCACUGAGGCGACGAUCACUAGCUGGGCGGAGAGGAUGACCAGCCACCCUGGAACUGGGACACGGUCCAGACUCCGACGGGAGGCAGAAGUGGGGAAUAUUGCACAAGGGGCGCAAGCCUGAUGCAGCCAUGCCGCGUGUAUGAAGAAGGCCUUCGGGUUGUAAAGUACUUUCAGCGGGGAGGCGUUACCCGCAGAAGAAGCACCGGCUAACUCCGUGCCAGCAGCCGCGGUAAUUC
Molecule: ribosomal RNA, 406 nt
Filed under: uncultured bacterium
Lineage: Bacteria
Description: partial 16S ribosomal RNA
Rfam family: Bacterial small subunit ribosomal RNA
Source: RNAcentral